Molecule: long non-coding RNA, 950 nt
Filed under: Spirodela polyrhiza (greater duckweed)
Lineage: Eukaryota; Viridiplantae; Streptophyta; Magnoliopsida; Alismatales; Araceae
Description: long non-coding RNA (SPOL_LNC002392)
Source: RNAcentral
GGCGAUCGAGCGCCAUCGAGAAGCAGAGCUCCAGCGCCUUGAACUGAGCACGGGAACAGUAAGCGGCGCUGCGGGCGCGGGAGAGGGCAUCGCGGAGGAGCGAGGAGGACGAAGACGGGAGGGACAGAAGCGCGGAGAUGACAUGGAGGGAGGUCGUCUGAGCGUGGCCGCGGCGGCGGGCGAUGGCGAUGGCCUCAUCCAGCGCCGCCACCGCCUCCCCCGCCAGGCACUGCCUCGCCGCGCUAACCGUCGUCGGCAUAGCCCCCGGAGACCGACAGCAUAAAUAUUCCUCCCGCUGUAACCCCGGCGAGGGAGCGGAGCGGAGCCAGAAAUAAAAUAUGCGAGAGGACAACGACGGAGAAGAGGAGAUGGGGGCGGAGCAGGCAACUGAAAUAGUAGAAUAAGAUUGUCGUCCUCGAGGAGGAGGAAGGGAGAGGGCCGGGGGAGGAGGGAGGAGGGAGGAAGGGAGCAGGAAGCAGGCGCUUCCCACCCUCCUGUCGCGGAGGCGGGGGCGGCGGCGCUGGAGGGAAUAUCAAUUUCUGGAAGGGAGAGCCGAAGAGGAGAAGAUGAGGGAAGAGGAGCAGUGGAAGGACCUGCUGCCGCUGCUGGUGGCGGCCGCGACUGGAGAAGCACCCGUCACUCCCGUCUUUUGGUUAUUUAUUGCCAUAUCGAUCUGAGUAGAAAUGGACACCGGGUGAACUGCUUUCUGCGGCCGUGGGGCCGCCGGGGCCCGCCGACACACGAUCACCAUCUGCGGGAGAACAAAUUCUCGCAUCGCCAUCGCCCCUCCCUCUCCCUCCCUCUGUGAAAGGAUCGGACUUUCCCGGAGGCGACGGCGGCGGCGGCGGAGAUGCCGGCUCCACUGAGGAGGAACGACGAACCGCAGCGACAGGAGGACCAACCGAGGAGGAAGGAGGACGACGACGACGGCGAUAGAUCCAACGACGGCC